RNAcentral lists this non-coding RNA (87 nucleotides) under Bacillus solimangrovi. Its description in RNAcentral is "ZTP sequence". It matches the Rfam family "ZMP/ZTP riboswitch aptamer (pfl RNA motif)". Rfam says of the family: Previously known as pfl RNA. ZMP is also known as AICAR. Lineage: Bacteria; Bacillati; Bacillota; Bacilli; Caryophanales; Bacillaceae. The record is from Rfam by way of RNAcentral.
AUAAGACGUAGUAACUGACGACAUAAGUGGAACAAACCACGAGGGAGCUGCGCUGAAUAAAAAUAGCCGGUCGUCUGGGCAGAGACA